RNAcentral lists this ribosomal RNA (1546 nucleotides) under Escherichia coli. RNAcentral describes it as "partial 23S ribosomal RNA". It matches the Rfam family "Bacterial large subunit ribosomal RNA", at positions 1 to 1541 of the family's 2925-position model. Lineage: Bacteria; Pseudomonadati; Pseudomonadota; Gammaproteobacteria; Enterobacterales; Enterobacteriaceae. The record is from RNAcentral.
GUUGAUAAGGUUAAGUGAAUAAGGGCGCACGGUGGAUGCCUUGGCACUAGGAGCCGAUGAAGGACGGGACUAACACCGAUAUGCUUUGGGGAGCUGUAAGUAAGCUAUGAUCCAGAGAUUUCCGAAUGGGGGAACCCAAUAUCUUUUAUAGGAUAUUACUUUUCAGUGAAUACAUAGCUGAUUAGAGGUAGACGCAGAGAACUGAAACAUCUUAGUACCUGCAGGAAGAGAAAGAAAAUUCGAUUCCCUGAGUAGCGGCGAGCGAAACGGGAAGAGCCCAAACCAACAAGCUUGCUUGUUGGGGUUGUAGGACUCCGAUAUGGUAGUCUGUUAGUAUAGUUGAAGGAUUUGGAAAAUUCCGCUAAAGAGGGUGAAAGCCCCGUAGACGAAAUGCUGACAACACCUAGGAGGAUCCUGAGUACGGCGGAACACGAGAAAUUCCGUCGGAAUCCGCGGGGACCAUCCCGCAAGGCUAAAUACUCCCUAGUGACCGAUAGUGAACCAGUACCGUGAGGGAAAGGUGAAAAGCACCCCGGAAGGGGAGUGAAAUAGAUCCUGAAACCGUGUGCCUACAACAAGUCAAAGCUCGUUAAUGAGUGAUGGCGUGCCUUUUGUAGAAUGAACCGGCGAGUUACGAUUGCAUGCGAGGUUAAGUCGAAGAGACGGAGCCGCAGCGAAAGCGAGUCUGAAUAGGGCGAAUGAGUAUGUAGUCGUAGACCCGAAACCAUGUGAUCUACCCAUGUCCAGGUUGAAGGUGCGGUAAAACGCACUGGAGGACCGAACCCACGUACGUUGAAAAGUGCGGGGAUGAGGUGUGGGUAGCGGAGAAAUUCCAAACGAACUUGGAGAUAGCUGGUUCUCUCCGAAAUAGCUUUAGGGCUAGCCUCGGAAUUGAGAAUGAUGGAGGUAGAGCACUGUUUGGACUAGGGGCCCAUCUCGGGUUACCGAAUUCAGAUAAACUCCGAAUGCCAUUCAUUUAUAUCCGGGAGUCAGACUGCGAGUGAUAAGAUCCGUAGUCGAAAGGGAAACAGCCCAGACCACCAGCUAAGGUCCCAAAAUAUAUGUUAAGUGGAAAAGGAUGUGGGGUUGCACAGACAACUAGGAUGUUGGCUUAGAAGCAGCCACCAUUUAAAGAGUGCGUAAUAGCUCACUAGUCGAGUGACCCUGCGCCGAAAAUGUACCGGGGCUAAACAUAUUACCGAAGCUGUGGACUACACCAUUAGGUGUAGUGGUAGGAGAGCGUUCUAAGGGCGUUGAAGGUCGAUCGUGAGGACGGCUGGAGCGCUUAGAAGUGAGAAUGCCGGUAUGAGUAGCGAAAGACAGGUGAGAAUCCUGUCCACCGUAUGACUAAGGUUUCCUGGGGAAGGCUCGUCCGCCCAGGGUUAGUCGGGACCUAAGCCGAGGCCGAUAGGCGUAGGCGAUGGACAACAGGUUGAUAUUCCUGUACCAGUUGUUUUUGUUUGAGCAAUGGAGGGACGCAGUAGGCUAAGGAAUGCAUGCGAUUGGAAGUGCAUGUCCAAGCAAUGAGUCUUGAGUAGAGUUAAAU